RNAcentral lists this long non-coding RNA (368 nucleotides) under Elaeis guineensis (African oil palm). Its description in RNAcentral is "long non-coding RNA (EGUI_LNC030669)". The record is from RNAcentral. Lineage: Eukaryota; Viridiplantae; Streptophyta; Magnoliopsida; Arecales; Arecaceae.
CUGGCCUGCUCAUUGCAACGAGAUUUCUCGCAGAGACCUUGGGGCUGCAAGAUCGGUCUCACACUCUCAGAUCAUGGCUCCAAUAAAUAGAAAUGGGAAUGGCUAAGAUCCUGUUAGCAAGCUGACCACUGAAGAGACAGAUAACCUCCUAAGGUCUCCAACCCUACCAUCAUUAGUGAUUAGAUCACAGACCCUAUAUCAUCAUCCACCUUCAUGCUGACGUAAGUCGGCCACCGUGAGAGGAGAAGGCUGAAAAUUCAGGCAUCCUGACUCACUAUAAUCAAAAUUCCAUCACUAAUCAACCAUCUGAUCUGGGUCACUACCGUAGGGGUGUGACUACAAAUCUCCCUCUAGAUGAAGAAGCAACC